GACGAACGCUGGCGGCGUGCCUAAUACAUGCAAGUCGAACGAAGCUUUUUUAACUGGUGCUUGCACCGACUUAAACAACUGAGUGGCGAACGGGUGAGUAACACGUGGGUAACCUGCCCCAAAGCGGGGGAUAACAUUUGGAAACAGAUGCUAAUACCGAAUAAAACUCAGUGUCGCAUGACACAAAGUUAAAAGGCCAUUUGGCGUCACCUAGAGAUGGAUCCGCGGUGCAUUAGUUAGCUGGUGGGGUAAAGGCCUACCAAGACAAUGAUACGUAGCCGAGUUGAGAGACUGAUGGGGCAGAUUGGGACUGAGACACGGCCGAAACUCCUACGGGAGGCUGCAGUAGGGAAUCUACCACAAUGGGCGAAAGCCUGAUGGAGCAACGCCGCGUGUGUGAUGAAGGCUUUCGGGUCGUAAAGCACUGUUGUAUGGGAAGAACAGCUAGAAUAGGGAAUGAUUUUAGUUUGACGGUACCAUGCCAGAAAGGGACAGCUAAAUACGUGCCAGCCGCCGCAGUAA
RNAcentral lists this ribosomal RNA (522 nucleotides) under uncultured bacterium. Its description in RNAcentral is "partial 16S ribosomal RNA". It matches the Rfam family "Bacterial small subunit ribosomal RNA", at positions 28 to 523 of the family's 1533-position model. The record is from RNAcentral.